Molecule: ribosomal RNA, 1040 nt
Filed under: Campylobacter coli
Lineage: Bacteria; Pseudomonadati; Campylobacterota; Epsilonproteobacteria; Campylobacterales; Campylobacteraceae
Description: partial 23S ribosomal RNA
Rfam family: Bacterial large subunit ribosomal RNA
Source: RNAcentral
CCUAAAUACUAAUACCAGAUCGAUAGUGCACAAGUACCGUGAGGGAAAGGUGAAAAGAACUGAGGUGAUCAGAGUGAAAUAGAACCUGAAACCAUUUGCUUACAAUCAUUCAGAGCCCUAUGUAGCAAUACAGGGUGAUGGACUGCCUUUUGCAUAAUGAGCCUGCGAGUUGUGGUGUCUGGCAAGGUUAAGCAAACGCGAAGCCGUAGCGAAAGCGAGUCUGAAUAGGGCGCUUAGUCAGAUGCUGCAGACCCGAAACGAAGUGAUCUAUCCAUGAGCAAGUUGAAGCUAGUGUAAGAACUAGUGGAGGACUGAACCCAUAGGCGUUGAAAAGCCCCGGGAUGACUUGUGGAUAGGGGUGAAAGGCCAAUCAAACUUCGUGAUAGCUGGUUCUCUCCGAAAUAUAUUUAGGUAUAGCGUUGUGUCGUAAUAUAAGGGGGUAGAGCACUGAAUGGGCUAGGGCAUACACCAAUGUACCAAACCCUAUCAAACUCCGAAUACCUUAUAUGUAAUCACAGCAGUCAGGCGGCGAGUGAUAAAAUCCGUCGUCAAGAGGGAAACAACCCAGACUACCAGCUAAGGUCCCUAAAUCUUACUUAAGUGGAAAACGAUGUGAAGUUACUUAAACAACCAGGAGGUUGGCUUAGAAGCAGCCAUCCUUUAAAGAAAGCGUAAUAGCUCACUGGUCUAGUGAUUUUGCGCGGAAAAUAUAACGGGGCUAAAGUAAGUACCGAAGCUGUAGACUUAGUUUACUAAGUGGUAGGAGAGCGUUCUAUUUGCGUCGAAGGUAUACCGGUAAGGAGUGCUGGAGCGAAUAGAAGUGAGCAUGCAGGCAUGAGUAGCGAUAAUUAAUGUGAGAAUCAUUAACGCCGUAAACCCAAGGUUUCCUACGCGAUGCUCGUCAUCGUAGGGUUAGUCGGGUCCUAAGUCGAGUCCGAAAGGGGUAGACGAUGGCAAAUUGGUUAAUAUUCCAAUACCAACAUUAGUGUGCGAUGGAAGGACGCUUAGGGCUAAGGGGGCUAGCGGAUGGAAGUGCUAGU